This 465-nucleotide ribosomal RNA is filed under the name uncultured Klebsiella sp. Its description in RNAcentral is "bacterial SSU rRNA". It matches the Rfam family "Bacterial small subunit ribosomal RNA", at positions 338 to 795 of the family's 1533-position model. Lineage: Bacteria; Pseudomonadati; Pseudomonadota; Gammaproteobacteria; Enterobacterales; Enterobacteriaceae. The record is from RNAcentral.
CCUACGGGAGGCAGCAGUGGGGAAUAUUGCACAAUGGGCGCAAGCCUGAUGCAGCCAUGCCGCGUGUGUGAAGAAGGCCUUCGGGUUGUAAAGCACUUUCAGCGGGGAGGAAGGCGGUGAGGUUAAUAACCUCAUCGAUUGACGUUACCCGCAGAAGAAGCACCGGCUAACUCCGGGCCAGCAGCCGCGGUAAUACGGAGGGUGCAAGCGUUAAUCGGAAUUACGGGGCGUAAAGCGCACGCAGGCGGUCUGUCAAGUCGGAUGUGAAAUCCCCGGGCUCAACCUGGGAACUGCAUUCGAAACUGGCAGGCUAGAGUCUUGUAGAGGGGGGUAGAAUUCCAGGUGUAGCGGUGAAAUGCGUAGAGAGCUGGAGGAAUACCGGUGGCGAAGGCGGCCCCCUGGACAAAGACUGACGCUCAGGUGCGAAAGCGUGGGGAGCAAACAGGAUUAGAUACCCCAGUAGUC